GGCCCGGUGGUCUAGCGGUUUAGGACGCUGGCCUUUCAAGCCGGAGAUCACGGGUUCGAUUCCCGUCCGGGCUACCA
Molecule: transfer RNA, 77 nt
Filed under: bacterium UBP9_UBA11836
Lineage: Bacteria
Also listed under: 1 other name
Description: tRNA-Glu
Rfam family: tRNA
About the family: Transfer RNA (tRNA) molecules are approximately 80 nucleotides in length.
Source: RNAcentral